Molecule: ribosomal RNA, 515 nt
Filed under: uncultured bacterium
Lineage: Bacteria
Description: bacterial SSU rRNA
Rfam family: Bacterial small subunit ribosomal RNA
Source: RNAcentral
AAAGACUGACGCUCAUGCACGAAAGCGUGGGGAUCAAACAGGAUUAGAUACCCUGGUAGUCCACGCUGUAAACGAUGAUCACUCGUUGUUGGCGAUAUACUGUCAGCGACUGAGCGAAAGCAUUAAGUGAUCCACCUGGGGAGUACGGCGGCAACGUUGAAACUCAAAGGAAUUGACGGGGGCCCGCACAAGCGGAGGAGCAUGUGGUUUAAUUCGAUGAUACGCGAGGAACCUUACCUGGGCUUAAAUGUAGGACGACGUUUCGUGAAAGCGGAAUUUCCUUCGGGACGUCUUACAAGGUGCUGCAUGGUUGUCGUCAGCUCGUGCCGUGAGGUGUCGGGUUAAGUCCCAUAACGAGCGCAACCCUUAUCAUUAGUUGCCAUCAGGUAAUGCUGGGAACUCUAAUGAAACUGCCUACGCAAGUAGUGAGGAAGGUGGGGAUGACGUCAAAUCAGCACGGCCCUUAUGUCCAGGGCGACACACGUGCUACAAUGGCCAGUACAGAGGGUUGCAAA